CCUACGUGAUGCAGCAGUGGGGAAUAUUGGACAAUGGGCGAAAGCCUGAUCCAGCCAUGCCGCGUGUGUGAAGAAGGCCUUCGGGUUGUAAAGCACUUUCAGUGGGGAAGAAAGCCUUGGGGCUAAUACCCUCGAGGAAGGACAUCACCCACAGAAGAAGCACCGGCUAACUCCGUGCCAGCAGCCGCGGUAAUACGGAGGGUGCGAGCGUUAAUCGGAAUUACUGGGCGUAAAGCGCGCGUAGGCGGUCUGAUAAGCCGGUUGUGAAAGCCCCGGGCUCAACCUGGGAACGGCAUCCGGAACUGUCAGGCUAGAGUGCAGGAGAGGAAGGUAGAAUUCCCGGUGUAGCGGUGAAAUGCGUAGAGAUCGGGAGGAAUACCAGUGGCGAAGGCGGCCUUCUGGACUGACACUGACGCUGAGGUGCGAAAGCGUGGUAGCAAUCAGGAUUAGAUACCCUUAUAGUC
This 464-nucleotide ribosomal RNA is filed under the name Vreelandella stevensii. Its description in RNAcentral is "partial 16S ribosomal RNA". It matches the Rfam family "Bacterial small subunit ribosomal RNA", at positions 338 to 795 of the family's 1533-position model. Lineage: Bacteria; Pseudomonadati; Pseudomonadota; Gammaproteobacteria; Oceanospirillales; Halomonadaceae. The record is from RNAcentral.